UGAGACAGAGCUAAAAUACAGUCUGAAAACAUCUGACAAGCCUUAACAACGGCUAACAGCACCAAUUCCUGUUCUACUUCUUCAACAUGCUUGUUAACAGCCAGAUCCACCUGCCGCCAGCCCAAACAUCGUCUGACAGCCCCAUCACUGUUAGAGAAUCUGUUAGGCUAACAUUCCCUAACAGGCACGCCUGUUAGCCGCUGUUAGACCCCCUAUGAGUUGGUAGGGUUGUUCGGAUCUCCCAAGUUAAAGUCAAACAUACACGUGGUUCCUCCAGCAGAAGCAUGGAUGACGUGGAAGAGUCCAUGGGCAAUGCAGUUCCCACAGCACAAUUUGUGCUCAACGAGCUCAUCGGCAGCCCACCCCAUGGCCUUUUGCCAGUCGUGUUGGAGGAUAUUGCUGAAGAAGUCAGACAGCAGUCUCAAGAGAGUGAAAAGCGAAGCUUGCACCCAUCAGAAGCGCGGGCACUAUUGGACAAACUUAUGGCCAUCGAGGAAUGGGAGCAAUGGGAGUCUGGUUGCGUUGGUCAAAAGAUGAUGACACAGAUGAAGUUUCAUCAGACGAGGCGUAGCAAAGACGUCCUAGAUAAUAACGACCGGGUAGAGGAGGAUUGAUCAAUUGGGGCUCAUGGGAGUAGGAAAUGAAUGUUUGUGUUGUGCUGAUAGUGUCGGAGAAUUUAUUCUGUUAAGUGUUUUGGUUGUGUUUUGGAGUUGCAGCAUUAAUAGGCCAGAUAACAUGUGGAUUAUUCAUUUAGUAAAGCAGACUGAGGGAUUGUGGGCUGAGAGCUGAGAUUCCUUGUGUGAUGUGUGAUAGUAACGUAUGAAGAAUAUGUGAAAAUUGUAAUCCCCUGAGCUUCUAUGCAUCCCAUAUAUUUCUGUACACAAAUGACACAUGUAAACAACAUCCUGGCAAGUAUACAGCAUAGCCUAAACAAGGUCAGGUAUAGGCUGUCAUGUAAACAUGAAGGCCUAUUAUGUGAUGCCUAUAGCAGUCUUGUAAUAGGCACUCGUGUACACACGCACCUGUAUAGGCACUGUUGUUUACAACAUCACAUGUAGACACAUCUGUAUACCAGUCAUGUUUACCACAUAGCCUAAACAAGAUCAGGUAUAGGCUGUCAUGUAAAGGGCAUCACAUAUUACGUUAUGCCUAUAGCGGUCUUGUAAUAGGCGCUCAUGUACACAUGCACCUGUAUAGGCACUGUUGGUUACAACAUCACGUGUAGACGCAUGCAUAUACCUGGCAAGUAUACACUACAACCUAAACAAAGUCAGGUAUAGGCUGUCAUGUAACGGGCAUCACAUAUAACGUGAUGUCUACAGCGGUCUUGUAAUAGGCGGUCAUGUACACACGCACUUGUAUAGGCACUGUUGUUUACAACAUUACGUGUAGACGCAUGCAUAUACCUGGCAAGUAUACACCACAGCCUAAACAAGGUCAGGUAUAGGCUGUCAUGUAAAGGGCAUUGCAUAUUACGUGAUGCCUAUAGCGGUCUUGUAAUAGGCGCUCAUGUACACACGCACCUGUAUAGGCACUGUUGUUUACAACAUCACGUGUACACAUAUCUGUAUAGCUUGGAAGUAUACCGCAUAGCAUAAAGAAGGUCAGGUAUUCUACAUAUAUACAGGGUCCUCUAUUAGGCAAACAUGUACAUAUGUCCCUCUUAAGGUCUGGGCCUUUAUUUCUCGUAUAAGACGUGUACACCUAACUGGCCUAUAUACCUUUCACCUAUUUUCCCGAAUAUCUCGCCUAUACAAUGCCCGAAAAAAUACAGACGCGGCCGCCCCUUGGGAAAGUGUUACCAUGGACUUUAUUGUAGCUUUGCCCAAAACUGAGGGGGGAUUCGAUGCCGUUUUGGUCAUGGUAGACCGACUCACGAAAAUGGUGCACCUGGCACCUACGGUAUCAUCCUGCACAGCUGAGCAAACUGCACGUCUGUUCUUUGACAACAUAGUGCGUUUGCAUGGUGUCCCCAAGAACGUUGUGACCGACCGCGGAUCGCAAUUUGCCAGCAGAUUUUGGGGCACCCUGGGUGAUCUGUUAGGCAUGCGUGUUAACCUGAGCACCGCCUAUCACCCACAGACUGAUGGACAGACAGAACGUACGAAUCGCACUCUUGGCGAUAUGUUGCGCAAUUAUGCCGGACGUACGCCUUCUGUCUGGGACACAUAUCUAACUGCUGCUGAAUUCGCGAUUAAUAAUGCUGUAAAUCGCGCGACUGGCAAAAGUCCGUUUUUCCUGAAUUACGGAUACAACCCUGCCUUGCCUGUUUGGCGGGAGUUGGACGUUAACUUGCCUGCAGCAAAGACGUUUGCCAAGUCCUUUGUGUCCCGACUGACUGACGCUAAAUCUUGCCUUGAAGCUGCACAGCAACGUACGGCGGACUACUUUAACAAAUCCCGACGUGCCAUCACCUUCUCGCAGGGCCAGUUGGUGAUGCUGAGCACUAAGAACCUGAGGUCCCUAGCGGAUGGUUCUCGUAAGCUUUUACCUCGUUGGGUGGGACCAUUUCCUGUCGUUCGCAUGGUUGGGUCUACUGCAGUCGAGCUGCAACUACCACCUGACAUGCGCAUCCAUCCCACAUUCCAUGUCUCUCUAGUCCGACCUUUCCGUACUACUGACUCUGCUGCUGCGCUUCAGCCAAAACCUGCUCCUACUGUCACGGAGCCAGGACCAGUUACUUGGCUUUCAGGCAAGCAGACAUUUUACGCGGUUGAACGGAUACUGGAUUACCGUUCCCGAAAAGUAGGCAGAAACCGCCGCCGUAAGCGCACUGUGCACGAGUAUCUUGUCAAAUGGGCUGGGUACUCGGCUGAGCACAACAGUUGGGAACCAGAAGCUAACUUUACCCCUGACCUAAAACCUCUGCUGGAAGAAGCACGGCAACGAGCACGGGCAAGGUAAGAUUUGCGGGUUAAAGGUAAGUGUUUAACUCCCGCUUUUUGGCCCGAUUUUUGCUCUGCCAGUUUCUUGCCAUGCAUCGAGGACGCUGCAUCUAGAGGGGGGAUAGUUGUUGUAUUCCGUUUCUUAAAUCUGGGCCCAAACUGAUACAUUUUUCUGUCUAAUUUUUCCUUUCUCGCUUGGCGCGGUUACUGGACAAGUUCGCUGGAACUAACUGAAUUCCAACUGCCUAUUUUGCCGCUUUUCUGUCAGAUCUUUAUGGCUCCGACCUCUGGGUCAGACGGCGAGCGGGACGCUGUCAUGGAUCCCUACAAGUAAACGCCGCCUCAGGCGGAAGUCCAUACUUGCAGAAGUAUGGGCGGGGGUCGUAGCACAGGCUACGACUGGGACGCUGGUCCCUGGCUCGCGGAGCCCCGUCAUCGAUUGGAAGCAUGGAUCAACGGUACGCCAUUCCGGACUGGACCGCGCCUUUUCGGAAUUGGCUGUACGAUUCAUGGGAUGGCCGCAUCCUCCGCUAUUUAAGCGGGCGAAACUCUUCCAAAUCGGUGUCUUCCGACGCCACCAUCCAGUUGUGGUUUAGUAAGAUACAACAGGAAGGUCCCACGUGUUUCAGGUGGUGUACAACAGUGGAGGCAUUGAGGUGGUUAGUGUGAGCAAGUUGCACAAUCGUGUAGCCCCCACACGCCCCUCUGCCAAGAAAGUGAUGGCGGGCAUCUCUGAGGCCAAUGAGCAUCUGUGCUCAGGCCCGUUCGAGCUUCACACAACCAAGGGGAUCAGCCAGGCGUUGGCCCUUGUGACGCCUGGAGAGCACAGUCCAAGCAAAGCGAAGGCCUUGGAGGCCGCCGGAUGUACAGGUAUCAUCAGGAAGGAGCCUGUGAGGGCUGAGGAUGUUCACGUCCUAACGCAAGCCGUCACAGUUGGUUGUGUGGGAUCAGUGUUUAUCCCCUGGAAGUGGGAUGAGGAGGCAAUGCAGCAGUUGCAGGAGGGUGCCUGCACCGUUCGGUAUAUGCCCGAUAAGGCAACCCUCUACCCCGCCCAGCCGCAGAGUUUUGCAAGGGCUCGGUCUGAUGGAGUCGCCAUGCCAAUCAUAGGUUUGGACACCUCCGAGGAGGUAAUGAAUGUGGUGCUGCCGGUGGCAUGUCAGCACGCUGAGGUGGCUGUCAUCGCUUUAUAUCACAGAGGCGGAUCCGGCAUGUUUGCAUUGGCUCCGUGCUGUGCAACGGGACGACCAUUUGUGUGUUUCGCAAGUAGGAACUAAGUUUUGGUUGGUUGUGUUCAGCAAUCCUUUGUGGAAGCGCACCCUGGUUAAGGACACAACGUGCGCCGUUCAGUUACUUUAGUGCUUUUUGGGUGGUCUGCCGCCAGCUCACCUAGCGCAAUCCGUGCAUGAGCUGGGCGGGAAGUGAGCCAGCCGCAUUUCUUGUGUCUGUUAGCAUGUCAUAUGGCGUGACAUCCAGGCCUAGUUGUUGGCCUCACGGUAGCUGGUCUCCACCCGGCCUACCUACUGAAUGAAGAAAUUUUUAUUUAACUGUUGCAGUUACCCUCUGCAACGUGAUUCUUUCUCAUGAAAACUGCGGUUUUAAAAUUUUUUAUCCUUUUUAUCGGUCACUUUCCUUGUUAUCUCCUCCCUGACCCCUUCCAGGUGGAUCUGCUGCUUGAGUUCAUUCGUGUCACGUUGCAAGAGGAGGAAGAUGAGGGGCAGUCAGCAAGGGCACGGGGAGAAGGAGUGAGGCAUAGUGGAGCGUCAUCCUCACCCAGAUCUUCCUUCUUUGGUGAUUACCCUGUAUAUUCUGCCACUGCUUCUGUGGCCCAUGAUGAGGGUCUGUGCUACUUCACUCUUCAGCACUACCUCGAGUGCCUGGAGGCACUGCGGGAGUACCUGGGGCUGGUGGAGCAGGUGACAGGAGGGAGGAGGAAGGGAAAUGAGACAAAAAAGUGGAUUCUAUAUGAAUGCUAAGAUGAAAAGCCUUUCAUCUUCCCUAGGCAAAGGGGACUAUGGAGAUGGUGGAGGAGAAGACAAGGGAAGAGAUCAUAGGCGCAGCCGGGGUACAGUGCUCAAUGAAUGGAAUGAACUGUGAGGGGUUGAGAAGAUGGACUGGGGAUUGGGGAAGGCGUGUGGGAUACCGCUUCCCCGAGGAGGCCCAGACGGUUUUGGCUGUGAUGGAGGCGCGGCGAUGGAUGGUGCAGCAGCCGGAAUAGCAUGCCUUCGCGCGCGUAAUUGAUCGAAGCGCAACUUACAGUAGCAACAACGAUAGUUCAGACAAUGAAGGCAUAGAAUGGCUCAGGGAUGGGCCGAGCCGUACCAGCAACGCCUCCUUGCAGCGUGCUUUGUACAAGGAAAUCUAAAGGGUUGUUGCAAUCAAAGGGGACAAAUGUUUUCUCCUUUCUUUGUUUUCGUAAGGGUUUUGGGUUACCUCUUUGCCGAUACGGUAGUAGAUGUGCAUAACUGUGAGGAGGGUUACGGGUGCUGUUGCGUUGUCAACUAAAUUUUUCUAGUCAUAUCUUGCCAUCAUGAAUGAUAAUUGCUGAUACUGCAAGUUGCAAUGCAUUUUCAGUCAGAGCGUGACUCACCGCUUUGUUUCCGAUAAUCAGCAGCAAUUGUAUGCAAAGACAUUUAGUUUGCAGUAAUGACUGAUCCUCAUGGUCAUAACUCUG
Molecule: long non-coding RNA, 5556 nt
Filed under: Volvox carteri
Lineage: Eukaryota; Viridiplantae; Chlorophyta; Chlorophyceae; Chlamydomonadales; Volvocaceae
Description: long non-coding RNA (VCAR_LNC003695)
Source: RNAcentral